RNAcentral lists this long non-coding RNA (541 nucleotides) under Homo sapiens (human). Its description in RNAcentral is "novel transcript". The record is from RNAcentral. Lineage: Eukaryota; Metazoa; Chordata; Mammalia; Primates; Hominidae.
ACAGUGCAUUGUCCCUAAACGACCCAUACUUGCCUCACUGACACCAUGUGGCCCACUUCCCAUCUAUAAUCUAUGUCUGGGUGUGAAGCCCUUCCCAUAUGAUCCCCCGAAUGGAACUUCACAAGUUCGAAUUCACUGGGUCACAGUGUGAUAGCGUGAAGAUGGGAGGACGUUAAGGGAAGGCUAUGGGUGAGUUGGGAAAUGUGUUAGGCAGGGUCAGAGAUUACCACAUCCUAAAAACAACACUUAAGGCGGGAGAUGACAAAACAAUCAAUGAAUAACAUGACUUUUUCCAGUGAAAGUGCCAUAUCUAAUCCUUUUCCAUUUUUGUUCUCUGAGCUUCUUUCUUAGGGAAGAUCCUUCUUGAGAAGCCCCUGCUGAGUAUUAGGAAAAUGCAUUUCAGGACCUCUCAUCAACACACCCUCUUUCUUUACCACAACCACAUAUAUGGGGGCAUAACUCAACAUGUGUAAAAGACAAUCUUCUGCUUUUCACUGAACCUCCAGGAAUUCAGGACAAUAAACCUCUACAUGCAGACCAA